Molecule: ribosomal RNA, 427 nt
Filed under: uncultured bacterium
Lineage: Bacteria
Description: bacterial SSU rRNA
Rfam family: Bacterial small subunit ribosomal RNA
Source: RNAcentral
UGGGGAAUUUUGGACAAUGGGCGCAAGCCUGAUCCAGCAAUGCCGCGUGCAGGAUGAAGGCCUUCGGGUUGUAAACUGCUUUUGUACGGAGCGAAAAGGUCUGCCCUAAUACGGUGGGCUCAUGACGGUACCGUAAGAAUAAGCACCGGCUAACUACGUGCCAGCAGCCGCGGUAAUACGUAGGGUGCGAGCGUUGAUCGGAAUUACUGGGCGUAAAGCGUGCGCAGGCGGUUAUGCAAGACAGAGGUGAAAUCCCCGGGCUCAACCUGGGAACUGCGUUUGUGACUGCAUAACUAGAGUACGGCAGAGGGAGGUGGAAUUCCGCGUGUAGCAGUGAAAUGCGUAGAUAUGCGGAGGAACACCGAUGGCGAAGGCAAUCCCCUGGACCUGUACUGACGCUCAUGCACGAAAGCGUGGGGAGCAAACA